GGGAGAAGGAAAAGGUUUUGGGGGGGAGGAAGAAGAAAAAAGGUAACGAAUAAAUAAGUAACCGGGCUCCUGAACGGCAGAGGUUACGGCAGCUUGUCUCUCCCCCUUCCGGGAGCCGCCUUCUUCUCCAACCGUCCCGGCCGCGCUCUCGGCGCUUCUGAAGAGCGAACUCGCCGAAUCACGGCUUUUAUAGAUUCGCUCGUUGGAGUGUGGUUUCAUCGUCAACAAAAGUCUCUCAUUAGUAUCCUCUCCCCGCUGGAAAAUGGUCUGUUCUGCGAGUCGGUAAUAAAGGAGGCGGGGCCGGUCGCGUCCUCCCAAGUGGGUUCUCGGAGGGAGGAGUGUUGGGGGCCGCCCUUGGUCAUGAAUAUGCAGUAAGACGCUGAAUAUGCAUGAAAAUCAAGAUGGCGAGGCCAAUUGCUUGUCCGGAAAUAGCCGAUGUUUGUCGAGCGGCCUCCUGGGGUCUGGCUUGUUUUGUCACGGAAAACCUGAAAAACCUGGACUGGAUUGCUGAUAGAAGAACCAAGUGGCACUCGGAGGUCUUGGAGUUUUGAGGUUUUAUUUUACACCAGCGGUCUGAGAGGGGAGUAUUCUACCAAGGUUUGAGCCCCAAACAGAGGCAA
Non-coding RNA from Manis javanica (Malayan pangolin), 620 nucleotides. The record is from RefSeq and is a predicted model, not a curated record. Lineage: Eukaryota; Metazoa; Chordata; Mammalia; Pholidota; Manidae.